GGGAUUUGGUAUCUGGUAAGAAGGCUCUUCUCCAAUUCAGUAGUUUCAUUAGGUUCAAAUUCUACAAUAGUCUUAGAAGUAGAAUCCCAACGCUUAGCUGUAGUUAGUAGCUGUUGCCGUGCAUGCAUCAGGUAUUCAAGAUCUUCAGUUGAAGCAGCAUCAAUCAUUACUCGUUGCAUGAGGACUGGUUCCAAUCCAAAAUCAAACACAACAGUUUGGCGAAAAGUUCCAAAGAUUUCUGUGUUAAAAGCUAUACUGACUUUGUAUAUAUAGUGAUCUAUUCCAUUCUGGACCAUCUUUCCUCCUAUCCACUCCUGACAGUUUUCUGGAACUUCUUGUGAUACCUGGGUAGUGCUGUCUCCAGCAGAUAUUGCAAUGAUACUGAAAUGUGGACGAUGGGCAUCAUAAAGCAAUGCCACUCGAUACAGCAUUCUUGCAGGCUUACAGGUGAGAGCAAACGUCCAAGUUUGAUGAGACUUCUUGGUGGUGACAGUUACUGAUAGCUCAGGAUUAUGUUCUACUCUCACUCCUUCUAUACUUUCACUAAGCACUUUCUCAGGAGAUAACGAAUUCAUCCAUUUCUCAAUCAAGGUUUCCAUAUAACUGCCCGAACAUUGUUUGUUUUCCUUCUGCUGUUUUAAUCUGAUCAAGCGGGAAGCAUAUCGUUUUUGCCAUUCUGUUAGCUCUUCCUGGGAAUGUGCUGAAGUACACUGUGCACCGUACCUGCAGAUCCCUUGCUCUAAAAAUCUUUUACAUAGUGUAUAUUCUUCACUGCUUGUGACUCCCCUGGGUGGAGGACGGAACUGCCAGCCAUCCCGGGACCCUUCUUCUAAAUCUUCUACAUGAUAUCCUGAUGGAACUUUAUCAGCUGCCUCUGUUUCAGCAAGAAGUGUUUUCAGUCGUGUCAGAUCUUUAGUUACCAUCCCGUUCAGUGAUUCACCCAUCAGUGAUUUGGAAAGAACAUUAGACACAAUUUGCAGCUUCCCUUUAAGAUGCAUGCAGCAGAGCACUGCACGGAAAGAUCCAUCUCCCUUGGCCAGCCCCUCUCCCAGCACUGUCAUUACUUUCUACGCCAUCUUGGAUCCACUUGUCAACGUCCCCACAAAGCAUUGUGGGAAAGCCCUCCCCCGCCCUCCUCCCGGCCCGGCGGGCAGCGGGGGAAGGCGGAGGGCGGCCGGGCGGGCUCGGCCGGGCCGGGGUGAGGCGGGCCGGGUUUGGUACCGAGGCUGUCCGCCGCACCUCGGGGACACGGGCUGGGGGCGGGCGGCGGGUGUGAGAGCUGUGGCCGCGGCUCUGCCCUCCCUUCUGACCGCUGUGCGAGGGGGCACGGCCGGGCGGAUGGGGGCCGGCAGGCGCUUUCUUCUAUUUUUUGGGGGGUUGUUUUUCUUGUUUUGGUUUGUUUUCUGGCCGGGGUUGGGAGCGUUGUUUUUGCCCCCUCCCGUUUCCCGGGAAUCGUGUCGCUGCCUCCACACGCUCGCAGCAGAGCUGCCAAGGCCGACAGGUCCCGGCGGGGCGGCCCUCAGGUGCCCGCCUGCGCGCGGAGAGCUGCGCGCCCGCCCGGCGGAGCCCCCCGAGCCGAGCAGGUUGGGCCUUCCCUUCUCUUUCCUUUGUUUGUUUACAGCUAUCGCUCUUAAACGUGUGAAAAACUGGAUCCCUGCGGAAGGGCUGCGGUUUAGAUGACGGAACACCUCACGCGUUUGAGAAACUCCAUCUCGUUUUGCUGAAGGACCGCCGGUAACGCGUUGCUGGCUGGGCACGAAUCCCAAAAACUGCUUUGCAAAACACGUUUGGCCAUCGGUGCUUUCAAUGCCGAGGCUGGUUUGCAACGUUUUUUUCUGGCCCCGCACAGCUCUGUUCUCCUCCUGAGCUGUGAUGGGAGAGCGGUUGCUCCAGCACCUUCCUUAUGUUUAUCAGCAGGAUUCCAGUUGUUGUUUGUUGGUUGUUGUUUUUUUGUUUUUUUUUUAACUUUUCUACUUUAAUUAAAGUAAUUGUAAGAUUUACAUCAUGUGAGUAUUGGAUUUUCCUAAAUACAUUUAUAUUUAAAUCUGUGCUUAACGCCUCCUAACUCUUUGAAGAGUAACCACCAGCUGAGUCUGUGAUGCACUGCCACUGCAAGAAGGUACUUGUGCCCAGGAAUACUUUCAAUAUUCAUCAGUAACAUGUUUAUAAGGAGAGCUCCUUGCAAAAAUGAAAAUACAAAAGGAAAUACAUUUGAAGAAGAAAUCUUUUGCAUUUGCAGCCCCAGACUUAGGUCAGUCCGCUUUUAAGUUGACUUUACAGGUCUGGUGGGGGCCAUUCCAGUGCCCCUGGAGGCCCAUUCAGGAGGGGAGUGCGGUUGGGCCCGGCCUCAGCCCAGGGGCCGCCAUUUCAGGAGGACAGAAGCAGUCCUACAGAAGCUGCCCUAGGCCAUGCUGCUGCUCUGGGGCUGCAUGCCUCACACACGGUCCCCAGUGAGCCUGCCUGGCAUGCUGGGAGGUAGGUUUUUUCCCAUGGGCUCUGCAGAGGCCAGGCAGUGCCCUGCAGCAAUGAAGACAGCAGUUACGGACAAACAGAUAAAGGUGAAAACAUAUUUAGGACCGAAAUAACGUUGUCUAGGCUGCUGCAAUGCAAUUAGGCCUUUUAUUUUGGAGGAUGGUUGUGUUCAGUUCCUGAGCUUUUAUAUUAUGGAUGAAUUUUUCCAUAGGGAUAUGCAAAGAAUAUUUCAUUAUUUUUUUAAUCAGAAAUAGAAUAACUUAUGUCAGUAUGUAAAAAAAAAUGCAUAUAUAUCCUCUGGGGUGAGGUAAAGAGUUGCUGGCUUUAUGUUUCACAUAAGCUGUCCUUAACUUUUGAAUCCCUUUCUUCUGGAAGGAUUUCUUUAUACUGCAGUAGGAAAAAAUUGUGUAGCUAGUGAGUUAGAGGGAGAAGGAUUUGUUCAGCAACUUAUGCUCUUUUUACCGCUUUGACUUAAAUUAAACUUCUUAGCCCUUGUAUGAAACAGGUUUUACUCUAUUUUGUGAACUAGUUAAUUGUAUUGCAGAAGCCCUGCGUGCACAGAGGCUGAGCUGAGAAGCCAGGUCUUCACUGAGUGUGGGCUAGGCAGAAACAGAUGUUAUGUGCUGACUACUCACUCACGUUUCCAGAACUGCCCAGACUUCUCAAGUUCCUGGAACCCCCAUGUGCUAUGCUCACCAAGGGGAUUUCAUGACGAGAGCAUCAUAGUACUUCUGUUGAGGAAUGUGAGUUUUUUGUACUGGAUGCAUCAUCUCUUCCUGCUGCCCAGGGAGAUGAGGAACAGUGGGUUACAUUGAGUCUGAGAGCAGAAGAAAAGCAACAGUAGCAGUUGGAAAUGUCAGAAGUGCCACAGUCACAAUGGGGAGGCAUGAGAGGGACUACAACAAUGAACCUCUGCUGAGCAUCAUGAGACUUGACAGGACUCAGAUCCUCAGAAGUGCAACAAGUGAUAGUUGUAGAGACUAAUUAUAAUGCUGAGAUUUAUAAUUAAAAAAAACUCCAGCAAUAUCAUGUUCAGCUAUAUUUUUAAUUAUAUCUUUUACACAUUUUAUGACUUCAGAAUCUUUUCAGGUCUGAAAACUACAGCUUCUUGCUGGAAAUUCAGAUGGCUCAACCUCCUGAAGAAUGUAACUGCAAGGAAGCCCUGAACACAAGCUAGGAGACAUGCCAAGGACCUUGGAGAAUCUAGGCUCUUUGCCAAAAAGCAUGAGUUUGAAAACCUGAGGCCACUUAGGACUACUAGGCGCCCUGCCAUGAAGCUGAGAUCUGAGCAGAGUUCUGAAAGGUGUGGCACAAAUUCUGGAAGAGUUGGAACCCUCACUUCCUUCAGGGCUAAUGGAAAGCUGGUAGCCAAAAAGCCCUAGAGCCCUGGCUCUCCCAUGAGUUGCACACUCAGUUUAGUUUCUACGUUUUCAAAACUAAUUAUUACAAACUUACUGCUGCUUUUUUCCCCCCCCCCUCUUUCUUCUCAGACUUUUCCUUUCACAAGACAUUCAGAAAACACAUUUCCAUUCUAUGAUAAAGUUCACUCUGUUUUCUCAGAAAUGGCUUUUCUCAGAUUCCAAUAGAGAAAACCCAGUUUUCCAUCAGCUUCACUUGUGAUGUGUUCUGAAGGUAGUCAGGAAACCCCAUUAUAAUUAACAUGGGCAAUUAGUAAGCACAAUUACAUACAGCACUGAACUGUCUCACAGACCCUGCAGCAUAACAUGCCAGUAGAUCUCUUUCACCUCUAGAAAGUGAAACAGAUCUUUCUCAAUAGAAGCUUCAGACUGAUUGCAAUAAUAGAAGUAAUGUUCCAAGGCUUAGCACACAAGAUCUUUGUAAUUUUUAACUCUCUCAGAAGCAGCAGUCAUGGGAAACUAACAGAAGUGAAGUGGUUUACCUUCUGCCACAAACAAGUCAGUGGUAGACCUGAGGUUAGAUAGCAACAAUAAUUCUUCAUCUUAUUAAACAACAAAGCAAACUUUCCAGGCUGAUCACCAGACUGAGGAGUAGCAAGAUCUGAUUUUGCAGCAUGAAAAUUCCCCUGGAAUUCCUCCAGUGUCCUCCAACAUACAAAUGAUCUCAACUUUAAUCUUACUACAUAAUUAUCCAAAGGUAAUAUUUCGUCAACUCCUUUAACACAUGUAAUUUCUAAAGUAAGGAUAUUCCAGCUAAUUCUUGCUCAUUUUUAAUUUGAGCCACAAAAGGAGAGCAUUAAGUAGCGAACAGCACUAAGGGGAUGUUGAAAGUACACAGCAGAUAGAGAAACUACAAAGUUCAGAUCAAUGUAAUCGUUUAAUCCCAUACUGUCAAGAUCAAACAUCUCCAGUGCAUUUCUUAAGAAGCAGGCAUGCCUUGCUGUUGACCUUUGACGUAACUUCAUACUAUUAGCAUAUCACCUCAGUGCAUGCUACUGUAAAACACUACGUUUUUAACUUUAUUUACGGUAUGUCCUCUCAAUCAUAGCCUCAGAAAUAUUCCUUUAAUGAAAUAACCAUAGAAUCAUGAAUUAUGGAGAUAAAAGCAUAAAUGGGAGAGAAUAAAUCACAAGACUACCAUUAUACAGGCAAUACAGUUUUAUUAUGUUCUUUCACCAAUUGUAGCAAAAAUGUUUAACAACUGAAUGAAUAAUCAAGGGAACUCAACUGUCAACAGGAAUUUCAGAAUUAUGUUCUAAAUUUUAGACCAGGAAGCCCUGAUGGGGAGAAAAAAAAACAUAUACACACUGUAAUAAUAGUCUCUAUUAUGAAGAUUUAAUGCCUUCUUUAAAAGCACUGAGAUUAUUGAGGCACCUUACUGUAGGUUAUGUAUCAUCUCCUCUUUGGCAAUGAGAUGUGUGGUUUUGUUAACUAGGGCCAUUAGUGAGUUCAGCUUGUGAGACCAGUCAUUCAGUAUAUUGUUUGGAUCCUUAGGCCUCUGGAAAUUGAUAAUUCCUGCCAGCCUGUCUACUUUAGCAAAGAUGGUCUUGUUAACUACUAGGUUAGACAGGAACUCCUCCGAUUCCUGCAAAGACAAACAGUACUAAGUCAAGGAAAUAGCAUUUUUAUCUUCAAAGCAUCAGAAGUCCACCCAAACAGCAUUAAAGCACAAAGAAGCUAACAGAAAUAAUCCAGCUUUAAUAACACUGUAUUUAAAAACAGCAUAAUACUUUAAUAUUACACAUUGGUGUAAUAUUACACCAACAGACUUCUACACUUCAGAGUACCUGGCUACACAGAUAUCAGACUGCAUUUUCUGACAAGCAAGACGUAGGAAAAUCCCUGUGAAUUAAGGAUGAGAAACCCUGUAUCAUCAGUCAGAUUUCCUCACUCAAUGACAAGAGCUUUUUCCACAGUGAAAUACAGGACAAGGAGCUCCAGCACUGAAAUAUGACCCCGAGCACAAACCCAUUUUCACUAUCAGCUUUUGCCUUAUGGGCACUUGCAUUGUGACAGCCAGUUCUGUCUGGAUUUAAAAAAAAAACAUCAACUUUUCUGAUUUCCAUAAUGGUAUGAAAAAACACGCAGGUCCUGAUACUGAACAGUGGAAGAAAAGUAGCAAAUACAUAGAUUAACAUAUUAUUACUCAGGCUUUUCUACUGCUUCGCAUCUAAAGAGCCCAAUGAACAAAAGUUCAGUUAAUGCUUCCUAUCACUAUAGCAUGCUUUGUUCUUCCUGGUAAAAGCUGACAAGCACUGGUAGUACAGUGGAAUGAGAUGUGAAGAAUACUACAGUGGCAUAUACAUAUACAAGCAGCAAUAGAUACUAUAUCCAUGAACACUAAUAAACACACGUGUAAAUCCUGAGAAGUUUUUUUUUUUUUAACCAAGCAGUGCAUUUCUACAAUGCUGUUUUUCUGCAUUGUCUGUAAAAUAAAGCAAUGAUGGUCUACAGCACUGUUUUCAGAGCUUUUUAAGAAAAAAAGAUUUAAAAAAAAAUCAAAUUAAAGGAAUGUUACUCUGCUGAGUACUUAUAUUCUUGCCACAAGCACGCACACACACACACACACAUUUCUAUUCCCUUUAUGAAAGGAGAGUAAGCAAGGCAACACUUACAUCAACGGACAGAUCCAGGAGCUGUGCCAUUCUCUUCAUUGUAAUUCUGGUAUAAUAUUUAGCCAUUAUUCUAAUAUUCUGGAAUAAAAGUGUUCAGAGUAGAGGGUUAUGUGCAAAAAAUAAUUGAGGCAGGCUGCAAAAAUAUAAAAGUCAAUAUUAAAAGCAGAUUAGGACCUAUAGUGCUCUAAUGGCAGUCCAGCAUAAAUUAUGUAAAUGAGUUGUGGACAGUUAUCGUGCUUGUGAAACAUAUAAUUAAUAGUCUCUGCGUGACAAAUUAUUAAGUAACAAAAUCAACUAAUUAUUAACUUAAGGCAAAGCAAGACAAGGUUUUACUCUACUGAAACGUGAAUGCUAAAUCCUUAAAAUAUGAGCACAAUAUGCUUUUUUUCCUGGCCAAGUGCGUAUCUAUACUAUGCACAUAUCAACAAUUGAAAAACAGAACAUAAUGGAAAAUGCAACUUAUCUGCUGCUUUCCUACAUGAAAAAUACCUCUGUAACAGAAGUAUGGCAAGCAAAAAGCAUUUUUAGUUCAGACAUAGCGUACAUAGCUAAUUUGUAAAGGAUGAGCCAUACUUACAUGUUCCACAACUCUGUUCUUUAAAUCUUUCCAUCUCUUUUCACCUUCCUCUGUACAGCCAAAAACAUCUGUUGCAGGACUGUCGAGGGACCCUUCUCUCAAUUCUUUCCCAUAUUCUUCAACUAGGGCAGUCCAUCGCAUCAACUCCAUGGUGGUAAAUAAUUUUAGGAGGUCUCUGCAAAUGAUUUACUAUGGGUGACUUACAAUCCUUUAUCAACAAGGCAUACUUUGUACUUAAAUAAAUCAGAUAAAUCACUUAAAAUGUUUUCAUUACCAUUAAUACUCAUUGUUCUUCGUAAGUAUAACCUCUAAUACUUCACACUACAUGGAUAGUUAAAGUCCAACUGUUUCUAAUGAAGUUUUCUCUUAUAAACAGUGAUAUUUCUUUUAACUUGUAACACACAAUCACUAAAGUUUUGCAGUAUUUUUCAUACAAUAAAUGCUGAUAUGUUUACAGGAGACUCAGCAUAAACAGAUUUCACCUACGCAGCUAGUGUAAGAGAUGCCUUUGGCCUGAGAAUUGCUUAUUAGAAAGAGCACUUACUUAUACUUCGGGAUUUCUUCUAGCUUUUUGUCACUACUAAUUCUGUGCACCAAAUCAGAUUGUUCGUUGUCAUAAGGUGAAAGAAUAACAUAAAGAACAACGCUCUUCAGUGCCUGUGAUAAGAAAGAGUGGGUUUUUUUUCCAUAACUAAACAGAAGCAUUGAAAACUACUUCACAGAGCUUAGAAUUUAACACAUAAAAUGGUUAUGUCAAACAUAUUAAGAAAGUAAGGUGAAAUUGAUGUUGCAGAAAUGAACCUCCCUUCAUAGCAAUACAUUUAAAUUGAUACAGGUUAACUAAAAUUCCAAAUUUCAAAGAUUUUUUUUUUUUACUUAAAUGUAUAACAUUCCCAUUUCAUAUACAACAGUAUAAGGACUUGCAGAGCUGUUUCUAAUUUGUGCACUUCCACAAAACCAAAAAGAUAUUCUCAAGAUUUUAAAGACAGUAAAAGAAAUUGGGUAUAAAUAUUCUUUUGACAUCAACUUUAUUACACCCAUUCUCAACUAACCAAUUUGUUAAUAUGAUCUGGUAUUUGAAAGUAACAAGAAUAGACUUAAGAGCAACUUAAUCUAUUGUAAAUUGAUCUGGUAAUGACAUGGCUGAAUAGGUAUUUGCCAUGUGAAAAUACAGACAUUUUGUUUGCUGUCUGGUUCUUUUGUUGUUGUUUUUACCUGCUGCCACUUUUCACUCUC
This 8318-nucleotide long non-coding RNA is filed under the name Gallus gallus (chicken). Lineage: Eukaryota; Metazoa; Chordata; Aves; Galliformes; Phasianidae. The record is from RNAcentral.